This 1009-nucleotide ribosomal RNA is filed under the name uncultured bacterium. RNAcentral's name for it is "bacterial SSU rRNA". It matches the Rfam family "Bacterial small subunit ribosomal RNA", at positions 356 to 1376 of the family's 1533-position model. The record is from RNAcentral.
CGAGAAUCAUUCACAAUGGGGGAAACCCUGAUGGUGCGACGCCGCGUGGGGGAAUGAAGGUCUUCGGAUUGUAAACCCCUGUCAUGUGGGAGCAAAUUAAAAAGAUAGUACCACAAGAGGAAGAGACGGCUAACUCUGUGCCAACAGCCGCGGUAAUACAGAGGUCUCAAGCGUUGUUCGGAAUCACUGGGCGUAAAGCGUGCGUAGGCUGUUUCGUAAGUCGUGUGUGAAAGGCGCGGGCUCAACCCGCGGACGGCACAUGAUACUGCGAGACUAGAGUAAUGGAGGGGGAACCGGAAUUCUCGGUGUAGCAGUGAAAUGCGUAGAUAUCGAGAGGAACACUCGUGGCGAAGGCGGGUUCCUGGACAUUAACUGACGCUGAGGCACGAAGGCCAGGGGAGCGAAAGGGAUUAGAUACCCCUGUAGUCCUGGCAGUAAACGGUGCACGCUUGGUGUGCGGGGAAUCGACCCCCUGCGUGCCGGAGCUAACGCGUUAAGCGUGCCGCCUGGGGAGUACGGUCGCAAGAUUAAAACUCAAAGAAAUUGACGGGGACCCGCACAAGCGGUGGAGUAUGUGGCUUAAUUCGAUGCAACGCGAAGAACCUUACCUGGGCUUGACAUGUAAUGAACAACAUGUGAAAGCAUGCGACUCUUCGGAGGCGUUACACAGGUGCUGCAUGGCCGUCGUCAGCUCGUGUCGUGAGAUGUUUGGUUAAGUCCAGCAACGAGCGCAACCCCUGUUGCCAGUUACCAGCACGUGAAGGUGGGGACUCUGGCGAGACUGCCCAGAUCAACUGGGAGGAAGGUGGGGACGACGUCAGGUCAGUAUGGCCCUUAUGCCCAGGGCUGCACACGUACUACAAUGCCCAGUACAGAGGGGGCCGAAGCCGCGAGGCGGAGGAAAUCCUGAAAACUGGGCCCAGUUCGGACUGUAGGCUGCAACCCGCCUACACGAAGCCGGAAUCGCUAGUAAUGGCGCAUCAGCUACGGCGCCGUGAAUACGUUCCCG